This 469-nucleotide ribosomal RNA is filed under the name Lactobacillus sp. 4B31. RNAcentral describes it as "bacterial SSU rRNA". It matches the Rfam family "Bacterial small subunit ribosomal RNA", at positions 57 to 483 of the family's 1533-position model. The record is from RNAcentral. Lineage: Bacteria; Bacillati; Bacillota; Bacilli; Lactobacillales; Lactobacillaceae.
GCAAGAUCGAACGAGGUUUGGUCAGUUUGCGGUGGUGCUUGCAUCACCAAUUACCGAUCAAACCGAGUGGCGGACGGGUGAGUAACACGUGGGUAACCUGCCCUUCAGCAGGGGAUAACAUUUGGAAACAGAUGCUAAUACCGUAUAACCACGGAGACCGCAUGGUCUCCGGGUAAAAGAUGGCGCAAGCUAUCACUGAAGGAUGGACCCGCGGCGUAUUAGCCAGUUGGUGGGGUAACGGCCUACCAAAGCGAUGAUACGUAGCCGACCUGAGAGGGUAAUCGGCCACAUUGGGACUGAGACACGGCCCAAACUCCUACGGGAGGCAGCAGUAGGGAAUCUUCCACAAUGGACGCAAGUCUGAUGGAGCAACGCCGCGUGAGUGAAGAAGGCUUUCGGGUCGUAAAACUCUGUUAUUGAAGAANAACAGUGUGUGACAGUAACUGGUCAUGCAGUGACGGUAUUCAAU